GAAAAAUAGAAAAACAAAACUAAAGCCUGACCUCAGCCGAGACCAGUUGAACUGGAAGCACGGAAUCCAGUUUGAGCAAGGAUCUCACUAAAUCAGUUUAUUGGAAGUUCUCCGCCCUUGGUAUCUGACCAUCCUUGGUAUUUUAUCACCUUGGCCUGCCUUCAGCAAGAAUUCUGUUGAGUUGGUCUACAAUCCCCCUUGGCGGAUUCUUAACCACUGCACCACCAGGGAAGUCCAGCAGGCCCUACUCUGAAGCAAAUUCUAGAUGUGACCACAGGACCUCCCGAGCCAGGAAUCAUAGAAUGAACUGUUCUGACUGUGACGUGCGGGAACGGAACACAAAGCCAAAGUUCCUGGCAGCAGUGACCAGGGCACCUUCAUCUGGGGACUGAGCCUGGUAAGUCAGCUCACCUGGCAGGAGAGAAGAGAGCAGCCAGAGCCCAUAGAGAUGUGCAGAUGAAGU
This is a long non-coding RNA of Balaenoptera ricei (Rice's whale), 463 nucleotides long. RefSeq lists it as uncharacterized. The record is from RefSeq and is a predicted model, not a curated record. The transcript is spliced from 4 exons. NCBI's taxonomy places the organism in Eukaryota, Metazoa, Chordata, Mammalia, Artiodactyla, Balaenopteridae.